GAUGAACGCUGGCGGCGUGCCUAAUACAUGCAAGUCGAGCGAACAGAUGAGAAGCUUGCUCCUCUGACGUUAGCGGCGGACGGGUGAGUAACACGUGGAUAACCUACCUAUAAGACUGGGAUAACUUCGGGAAACCGUAGCUAAUACCGGAUAAUAUAUUGAACCGCAUGGUUCAAUAGUGAAAGACGGUUUUGCUGUCACUUAUAGAUGGAUCCGCGCCGCAUUAGCUAGUUGGUAAGGUAACGGCUUACCAAGGCAACGAUGCGUAGCCGACCUGAGAGGGUGAUCGGCCACACUGGAACUGAGACACGGUCCAGACUCCUACGGGAGGCAGCAGUAGGGAAUCUUCCGCAAUGGGCGAAAGCCUGACGGAGCAACGCCGCGUGAGUGAUGAAGGUCUUCGGAUCGUAAAACUCUGUUAUUAGGGAAGAACAAAUGUGUAAGUAACUAUGCACGUCUUGACGGUACCUAAUCAGAAAGCCACGGCUAACUACGUG
Molecule: ribosomal RNA, 497 nt
Filed under: uncultured bacterium
Lineage: Bacteria
Description: partial 16S ribosomal RNA
Rfam family: Bacterial small subunit ribosomal RNA
Source: RNAcentral